GACGAGGCACUACGGUGCUGAAGCAACAAAUGCCCUGCUUCCAGGAAAAGCCUCUAAGCAUCAGGUAACAUCAAAUCGUACCCCAAACCGACACAGGUGGUCAGGUAGAGAAUACCAAGGCGCUUGAGAGAACUCGGGUGAAGGAACUAGGCAAAAUGGUGCCGUAACUUCGGGAGAAGGCACGCUGACACGUAGGUGAAGUGAUUUACUCAUGGAGCUGAAGUCAGUCGAAGAUACCAGCUGGCUGCAACUGUUUAUUAAAAACACAGCACUGUGCAAACACGAAAGUGGACGUAUACGGUGUGACGCCUGCCCGGUGCCGGAAGGUUAAUUGAUGGGGUCAGCGCAAGCGAAGCUCCUGAUCGAAGCCCCGGUAAACGGCGGCCGUAACUAUAACGGUCCUAAGGUAGCGAAAUUCCUUGUCGGGUAAGUUCCGACCUGCACGAAUGGCGUAAUGAUGGCCAGGCUGUCUCCACCCGAGACUCAGUGAAAUUGAACUCGCUGUGAAGAUGCAGUGUACCCGCGGCAAGACGGAAAGACCCCGUGAACCUUUACUAUAGCUUGACACUGAACAUUGAGCCUUGAUGUGUAGGAUAGGUGGGAGGCUUUGAAGUGUGGACGCCAGUCUGCAUGGAGCCGACCUUGAAAUACCACCCUUUAAUGUUUGAUGUUCUAACGUGGACCCGUAAUCCGGGUUGCGGACAGUGUCUGGUGGGUAGUUUGACUGGGGCGGUCUCCUCCUAAAGAGUAACGGAGGAGCACGAAGGUUGGCUAAUCCUGGUCGGACAUCAGGAGGUUAGUGCAAUGGCAUAAGCCAGCUUGACUGCGAGCGUGACGGCGCGAGCAGGUGCGAAAGCAGGUCAUAGUGAUCCGGUGGUUCUGAAUGGAAGGGCCAUCGCUCAACGGAUAAAAGGUACUCCGGGGAUAACAGGCUGAUACCGCCCAAGAGUUCAUAUCGACGGCGGUGUUUGGCACCUCGAUGUCGGCUCAUCACAUCCUGGGGCUGAAGUAGGUCCCAAGGGUAUGGCUGUUCGCCAUUUAAAGUGGUACGCGAGCUGGGUUUAGAACGUCGUGAGACAGUUCGGUCCCUAUCUGCCGUGGGCGCUGGAGAACUGAGGGGGGCUGCUCCUAGUACGAGAGGACCGGAGUGGACGCAUCACUGGUGUUCGGGUUGUCAUGCCAAUGGCACUGCCCGGUAGCUAAAUGCGGAAGAGAUAAGUGCUGAAAGCAUCUAAGCACGAAACUUGCCCCGAGAUGAGUUCUCCCUGAGACUUAGAGUCUCCUGAAGGAACGUUGAAGACGACGACGUUGAUAGGCCGGGUGUGUAAGCGCAGCGAUGCGUUGAGCUAACCGGUACUAAUGAACCGUGAGGCUUAACCUUACAACGCCGAAG
Molecule: ribosomal RNA, 1393 nt
Filed under: Salmonella enterica subsp. enterica serovar Senftenberg
Lineage: Bacteria; Pseudomonadati; Pseudomonadota; Gammaproteobacteria; Enterobacterales; Enterobacteriaceae
Also listed under: 22 other names
Description: partial 23S ribosomal RNA
Rfam family: Bacterial large subunit ribosomal RNA
Source: RNAcentral